GAUGAACGCUGGCGGCGUGCUUAACACAUGCAAGUCGAACGAUGAAGCCCAGCUUGCUGGGUGGAUUAGUGGCGAACGGGUGAGUAACACGUGAGUAACCUGCCCUUAACUCUGGGAUAAGCCUGGGAAACUCGGUCUAAUACCGGAUAGGAGCGUCCACCGCAUGGUGGGUGUUGGAAAGAUUUAUCGGUUUUGGAUGGACUCGCGGCCUAUCAGCUUGUUGGUGAGGUAAUGGCUCACCAAGGCGACGACGGGUAGCCGGCCUGAGAGGGUGACCGGCCACACUGGGACUGAGACACGGCCCAGACUCCUACGGGAGGCAGCAGUGGGGAAUAUUGCACAAUGGGCGCAAGCCUGAUGCAGCGACGCCGCGUGAGGGAUGACGGCCUUCGGGUUGUAAACCUCUUUCAGUAGGGAAGAAGCGAAAGUGACGGUACCUGCAGAAGAAGCACCGGCUAACUACGU
RNAcentral lists this ribosomal RNA (465 nucleotides) under uncultured bacterium. Its description in RNAcentral is "partial 16S ribosomal RNA". It matches the Rfam family "Bacterial small subunit ribosomal RNA", at positions 28 to 506 of the family's 1533-position model. The record is from RNAcentral.